RNAcentral lists this long non-coding RNA (284 nucleotides) under Lotus japonicus. RNAcentral describes it as "long non-coding RNA (LJAP_LNC000275)". Lineage: Eukaryota; Viridiplantae; Streptophyta; Magnoliopsida; Fabales; Fabaceae. The record is from RNAcentral.
AACCUGCUUUAAUGAUUUCAUUCCCUUAUGUUGAACUUUUAAUAGAGUAAUGUCAUGCUUGUGUUUCAUCUAAUGUCAUGCUUGUGUUUCACUAAUGUCAUGGGCUCGUUUAUUGUUGUCUCUUUUCUUUUGGUUUGUUGCUGGUUUUUGUAUGCUCAUUUAGCAAUUGGUGCUGGCAUUAUUAACUUCUUAGUGUUGAGACCAAAAAAUGUAUCAUUCCAAAUUGCUAUGAACCAAAAUGUAGUUGCCUUAGCAAAACCAAAUUAAGUUUUGAAGGUAGAUCU